UCCGAGUUGACCCCGGCAGUCUCAUAUGAGUUCCCACCAUUACGUGCUGGCAACAUACGACGAGGGUUGCGCUCGUUGCGGGACUUAACCCAACAUCUCACGACACGAGCUGACGACAACCAUGCACCACCUGUGAAGGUGCCCCGAAGGGAAGCCGUGUUUCCACGGCGGUCACCCACAUGUCAAGCCCAGGUAAGGUUCUUCGCGUUGCGUCGAAUUAAACCACAUGCUCCGCUGCUUGUGCGGGUCCCCGUCAAUUCCUUUGAGUUUUAGCCUUGCGGCCGUACUCCCCAGGCGGUUCACUUAAUGCGUGAGCUGCGAUACUGGAGGGGUCAACUCCCCCAACAUCUAGUGAACAUCGUUUACGGCGUGGACUAC
This 378-nucleotide unclassified non-coding RNA is filed under the name uncultured Actinomycetes bacterium. RNAcentral's name for it is "uncultured actinobacterium contains 16S-23S intergenic spacer region". Lineage: Bacteria; Bacillati; Actinomycetota; Actinomycetes. The record is from RNAcentral.